Nicotiana attenuata is the source of this 72-nucleotide non-coding RNA. NCBI's taxonomy places the organism in Eukaryota, Viridiplantae, Streptophyta, Magnoliopsida, Solanales, Solanaceae. The record is from Rfam.
UCCUCAGUAGUUCAGUGGUGGAGCGAUCGGCUGUUAACCGAUUGGUCGUAGGUUCGGAUCGUACUUAGGGAG